Molecule: long non-coding RNA, 454 nt
Organism: Homo sapiens (human)
Lineage: Eukaryota; Metazoa; Chordata; Mammalia; Primates; Hominidae
Product: long intergenic non-protein coding RNA 1431
Source: Ensembl
CGCGCUUACCGGGAGCCCGGGUUGGGAGAGGGCUCCCCAGGAGGGGUGUGAGCUCCGAACGAGAAAGAACGCCACCGCCUCGUGGGGUCUCUUCCUAAUGUGCAGAUUCCAAAUCUCUACAAUGCUGCAAAAGAGCAGCAACAGGUGUGCACCUUCCAAGCUUGCAACAGACCACAUUCAGAAGCUUGAUUUCUUGUUGUUCUGGGAAUAUCUGGAUCAGAGACCUUGCUGUCACCACUACUCCGGGACCUGGAAGUUAAAGCGAGGGAGAGACGGUGAAACACAGAAAGCAGAACGCCUUCUGUUCUUCCACAACACAGGGUUUGUGGACGUGGCCACUAUAAGAACUCGCACUGCGUGCUGAUUAUACUCCUCAGCACAAUUCAUUUCUUAAACUUUUUAGAAUAAUUUAAAAUUUACAAAAAGUUGCAAAAAUAAAAACCAGUAAACUUUU